This 344-nucleotide ribosomal RNA is filed under the name uncultured bacterium. Its description in RNAcentral is "bacterial SSU rRNA". It matches the Rfam family "Bacterial small subunit ribosomal RNA", at positions 8 to 350 of the family's 1533-position model. The record is from RNAcentral.
AGAGUUUGAUCAUGGCUCAGAUUGAACGCUGGCGGCAUGCUUUACACAUGCAAGUCGAACGGCAGCACAGGGGGCUUGCUCCCGGGUGGCGAGUGGCGCACGGGUGAGUAAUACAUCGGAACGUGUCCUGUUGUGGGGGAUAACUGCUCGAAAGGGUGGCUAAUACCGCAUGACACCUGAGGGUGAAAGCGGGGAUCGCAAGACCUCGCGCAAUUGGAGCGGCCGAUGCCGAUUAGCUAGUUGGUGAGGUAAAGGCUACACCAAGGCGACGAUCGGUAGCUGGUCUGAGAGGACGACCAGCCACACUGGGACUGAGACACGGCCCAGACUCCGUACGGGAGGCA